RNAcentral lists this ribosomal RNA (624 nucleotides) under uncultured bacterium. RNAcentral describes it as "bacterial SSU rRNA". It matches the Rfam family "Bacterial small subunit ribosomal RNA", at positions 707 to 1334 of the family's 1533-position model. The record is from RNAcentral.
CUCCGAUUGCGAAGGCAGCUUACGGGAGCGCAACUGACGCUGAAGCUCGAAAGUGCGGGUAUCGAACAGGAUUAGAUACCCUGGUAGUCCGCACGGUAAACGAUGGAUGCCCGCUCUGAGUCCUUUUGGAUUUGGGGCCAAGCGAAAGCAUUAAGCAUCCCACCUGGGGAGUACGCCGGCAACGGUGAAACUCAAAGGAAUUGACGGGGGCCCGCACAAGCGGAGGAACAUGUGGUUUAAUUCGAUGAUACGCGAGGAACCUUACCCGGGCUUGAAUUGCAGGAGAACGAUCCAGAGAUGGUGAGGCCCUUCGGGGCUCCUGUGAAGGUGCUGCAUGGUUGUCGUCAGCUCGUGCCGUGAGGUGUCGGCUUAAGUGCCAUAACGAGCGCAACCCCUCUCCUUAGUUGCCAUCAGGUUAAGCUGGGCACUCUGGGGACACUGCCACCGUAAGGUGUGAGGAAGGUGGGGAUGACGUCAAAUCAGCACGGCCCUUACGUCCGGGGCUACACACGUGUUACAAUGGCGUGUACAGAGAGUUGGUGACAGGCAAAUGUCAUCUAAUCCUAAAAGCACGUCUCAGUUCGGACUGGGGUCUGCAACCCGAGCCCCACGAAGCUGGAUUCG